This 934-nucleotide ribosomal RNA is filed under the name Klebsiella pneumoniae. RNAcentral's name for it is "bacterial LSU rRNA". It matches the Rfam family "Bacterial large subunit ribosomal RNA", at positions 530 to 1471 of the family's 2925-position model. Lineage: Bacteria; Pseudomonadati; Pseudomonadota; Gammaproteobacteria; Enterobacterales; Enterobacteriaceae. The record is from RNAcentral.
CGAGGGGAGUGAAAAAGAACCUGAAACCGUGUACGUACAAGCAGUGGGAGCACCUUCGGGUGUGACUGCGUACCUUUUGUAUAAUGGGUCAGCGACUUAUAUUCUGUAGCAAGGUUAACCGUAUAGGGGAGCCGCAGGGAAACCGAGUCUUAACUGGGCGUUAAGUUGCAGGGUAUAGACCCGAAACCCGGUGAUCUAGCCAUGGGCAGGUUGAAGGUUGGGUAACACUAACUGGAGGACCGAACCGACUAAUGUUGAAAAAUUAGCGGAUGACUUGUGGCUGGGGGUGAAAGGCCAAUCAAACCGGGAGAUAGCUGGUUCUCCCCGAAAGCUAUUUAGGUAGCGCCUCGUGAACUCAUCUUCGGGGGUAGAGCACUGUUUCGGCUAGGGGGUCAUCCCGACUUACCAACCCGAUGCAAACUACGAAUACCGAAGAAUGUUAUCACGGGAGACACACGGCGGGUGCUAACGUCCGUCGUGAAGAGGGAAACAACCCAGACCGCCAGCUAAGGUCCCAAAGUCAUGGUUAAGUGGGAAACGAUGUGGGAAGGCACAGACAGCCAGGAUGUUGGCUUAGAAGCAGCCAUCAUUUAAAGAAAGCGUAAUAGCUCACUGGUCGAGUCGGCCUGCGCGGAAGAUGUAACGGGGCUAAACCAUGCACCGAAGCUGCGGCAGCGACACUAUGUGUUGUUGGGUAGGGGAGCGUUCUGUAAGCCUGCGAAGGUGACCUGUGAGGGUUGCUGGAGGUAUCAGAAGUGCGAAUGCUGACAUAAGUAACGAUAAAGCGGGUGAAAAGCCCGCUCGCCGGAAGACCAAGGGUUCCUGUCCAACGUUAAUCGGGGCAGGGUGAGUCGACCCCUAAGGCGAGGCCGAAAGGCGUAGUCGAUGGGAAACAGGUUAAUAUUCCUGUACUUGGUGUUACUGCGAAGGGGGG